Molecule: ribosomal RNA, 260 nt
Filed under: Clostridium sp. enrichment culture clone gl4
Lineage: Bacteria; Bacillati; Bacillota; Clostridia; Eubacteriales; Clostridiaceae
Description: partial 16S ribosomal RNA
Rfam family: Bacterial small subunit ribosomal RNA
Source: RNAcentral
AACUGACGCUGAGGCACGAAAGCGUGGGUAGCAAACAGGAUUAGAUACCCUGGUAGUCCACGCCGUAAACGAUGAGUACUAGGUGUAGGAGGUAUCGACCCCUUCUGUGCCGCGGUAAACACAUUCCGUACUCCGCCUGGGAAGUACGAUCGCAAGAUUAAAACUCAAAGGAAUUGACGGGGGCCCGCACAAGCAACGGAGCAUAUGGUUUAAUUAUAACNAACGCGAAGAACCUUACCUGGACUUGACAUCCCCUGAAU